GCGGCUAUCGUAUAGUGGUCAUUAUAAAAGCUUCCCAAGCUUUGGAGGUGGGUUCGAUUCCCACUAGCCGCUCCA
This 75-nucleotide transfer RNA is filed under the name Rheinheimera sp. RNAcentral describes it as "tRNA-Gly". It matches the Rfam family "tRNA". From Rfam's summary of the family: Transfer RNA (tRNA) molecules are approximately 80 nucleotides in length. The record is from RNAcentral. Lineage: Bacteria; Pseudomonadati; Pseudomonadota; Gammaproteobacteria; Chromatiales; Chromatiaceae.